UUUUCUUACAAAAUUGACCAAGUAUAUUUUUUGGUUGACUGUUCCUAGGAUUAAAGUUUGGGAUACAUUUCACCAUAAACACAAGAUUAUUCCAGGUUAUGAAAGUCUUCAACUCACUAUAAACAGCAAACUGCAUAUGUUAGAAGGAGGGGCAAAAGCAGUACUACUUGCAGGGAGUAAGAAAAAAUGGGAGGCCUGCAUUCCUGCACCAAAUGUUCUAGGAACAGCUUGUUGAGGUGAAGUAAGGCUUGUGGGACUUGGACGACUGUUCAGUUAUGUCUGUCUUUACACCUCACAGCAAGAUCUCCUGCCUAACAGUAGCUCUGGACAGGAAGACAAUUCUUGUGGGUAUGAGUGACAGCCCUGCUCUUAUCAUCUUGAAAAAAAAUAGAGUGCCAAAGUCACUGUGAAUUCUACUGAUAGACUUAUUUGGAGAAGAAUCUACUAGCAGUGAGGAAGAAUCUGAAGAAAACUAGAGAGCAACGAUUAAGGAAUCUAAAGAUAUUGAUACUUAAACAUUUAGUAUAUCUGAAUUAUCUACACCCAUACACUAGUAGAGCCAGGAUUUCAACCAAUUUGUCUUUGCCUUUGAGACUAAUAAUGCAACACUUAAAAAUCACAUUCAUCUAAUGACCAGAAGUUGUUGCGGCUCCAGUUACGUACAAUGCAUUUUAAAACUAGUCAAUUGAAGUAGGUAGUUACACCAGGGAUGCAUCUGGCUUCCACAAUUCAGCAAAUGUAUUCUUGCAUAACAAUAGUAGUCACACAUAUCCCAGUCCAUUAAUCCUUAGACAUGUGACAAGAUCUGAAAAAAGAGAAUUACUCCUGUGAGUAAGCGUGACAGAGAGGCCUACUGAUGGUUCACUACUGUGUCAGCGCUUGUCAGAUCUGACAUACUCACUGUCCC
This is a long non-coding RNA of Chelonia mydas (Green sea turtle), 907 nucleotides long. RefSeq lists it as uncharacterized. The record is from RefSeq and is a predicted model, not a curated record. The transcript is spliced from 3 exons. NCBI's taxonomy places the organism in Eukaryota, Metazoa, Chordata, Testudines, Cheloniidae.